UCCUUCGGGAGGGGAUUAGUGGCGAACGGGUGAGUAACACGUGGGCAAUCUGCCCUGCACUCUGGGACAAGCCCUGGAAACGGGGUCUAAUACCGGAUACUGAUCAUCUUGGGCAUCCUUGGUGAUCGAAAGCUCCGGCGGUGCAGGAUGAGCCCGCGGCCUAUCAGCUUGUUGGUGAGGUAAUGGCUCACCAAGGCGACGACGGGUAGCCGGCCUGAGAGGGCGACCGGCCACACUGGGACUGAGACACGGCCCAGACUCCUACGGGAGGCAGCAGUGGGGAAUAUUGCACAAUGGGCGAAAGCCUGAUGCAGCGACGCCGCGUGAGGGAUGACGGCCUUCGGGUUGUAAACCUCUUUCAGCAGGGAAGAAGCGAAAGUGACGGUACCUGCAGAAGAAGCGCCGGCUAACUACGUGCCAGCAGCCGCGGUAAUACGUAGGGCGCGAGCGUUGUCCGGAAUUAUUGGGCGUAAAGAGCUCGUAGGCGGCUUGUCGCGUCGGUUGUGAAAGCCCGGGGCUUAACCCCGGGUCUGCAGUCGAUACGGGCAGGCUAGAGUUCGGUAGGGGAGAUCGGAAUUCCUGGUGUAGCGGUGAAAUGCGCAGAUAUCAGGAGGAACACCGGUGGCGAAGGCGGAUCUCUGGGCCGAUACUGACGCUGAGGAGCGAAAGCGUGGGGAGCGAACAGGAUUAGAUACCCUGGUAGUCCA
This 707-nucleotide ribosomal RNA is filed under the name Streptomyces sp. RNAcentral's name for it is "bacterial SSU rRNA". It matches the Rfam family "Bacterial small subunit ribosomal RNA", at positions 76 to 797 of the family's 1533-position model. The record is from RNAcentral. Lineage: Bacteria; Bacillati; Actinomycetota; Actinomycetes; Kitasatosporales; Streptomycetaceae.